UUUUCUCAAUGUAAGUGUAUUUGUUCCCCUCCCAGCAUCUGCAGACUAGAGUGGAAGCCGCUCUUCUGGAAGUCUCUCUCUCACACACACUCCUACAGUCCCAUUACGGUCGAGUCCGACUUCAACAACCCUCUUUAUGAGGCAGGUGACACGCGGGAGUAUGAAGUAUCAAUUUAGAGGAGAAAACGUCUCGGUGAGAGUUGAACACCACAGGGAGAUUCAAUUAUUUUGGACGAGAAAUGUCUGAGGAUUGUAAGGCCUCACUCCCCUUUUAUCAUUAUUUUCUAACUUUUUUACAUUUUACCAUCACUGUAUCUCUGGUUUAUCAGUUUGUGGAAGUGCUUUAUUCUUGAUUUGUUGCACUGAUGUGGUGAUUUGCCAAAUGUGGGUCCUACUUCACGGUCCAACUGUCUGUAUCACUAGGACUGGUGCCUUAUGAAGGGUAAGUAAUGGAUAACAAAGGGAACAAAUAGCAAUGUGGGAGGCAUAGGUUAAGUGUAAAAGGGUGUUGUUGAAAUGUAUCUAUUUAUUAAGUUACAUUAUUAUGAGGCCAAAACAUCAGAGAACUUGGCAAUACUUUAUUUGUUACUAUCAAAAGAGCAUACACAGUGAAUGUGAAUGUUUUUCUUUCAUUAUAACAGUUGUACAUUAUACAAAGUGUUACAGUUAAAGGGAAAAAUACUUUCAUUUCAAUCAUGAGAAAAGUUUGAUCAACUCAGUCAUUUUCUCUCUGUGUAACACACACACACACACACACACACACACACACACACACACACACACACACUCA
Molecule: long non-coding RNA, 790 nt
Organism: Notothenia coriiceps (black rockcod)
Lineage: Eukaryota; Metazoa; Chordata; Actinopteri; Perciformes; Nototheniidae
Exons: 2
Source: RefSeq, a predicted model, not a curated record